Molecule: long non-coding RNA, 335 nt
Organism: Acanthopagrus latus (yellowfin seabream)
Lineage: Eukaryota; Metazoa; Chordata; Actinopteri; Spariformes; Sparidae
Exons: 3
Source: RefSeq, a predicted model, not a curated record
ACACAGAUAGAUCAGCCGAGGGUAAAAACAUUUCAGCAGCACAAAACACCCAAACAAGUCAACACUUUAAGAUGAGAUGAAACUUUGCUAAGUCAUUUCAGGACAUCAAGCAAGCAUCAACAAACUGGAGUCUGAGGGCCUUAUAUCAGCAGUCGAGACAGAGUGUGAUCCAAGUGGAAAGUGGACUCACCGAUGCCAGAGCCCACACUGAGAUGAAAACUUACAUUUAGGAUGUUGGCAUCGCUGCUCUCCAGGCCCUGUACCAGCAGCACUGCAAAAUUGUCCGUCUGUAAAGACACCGUCCCUUUAGGAGCUCCCCUCCCCUUGGAAACUGA